Molecule: ribosomal RNA, 460 nt
Filed under: uncultured bacterium
Lineage: Bacteria
Description: partial 16S ribosomal RNA
Rfam family: Bacterial small subunit ribosomal RNA
Source: RNAcentral
UCUACGGGUGGCAGCAGUGAGGAAUAUUGGUCAAUGGGCGAGAGCCUGAACCAGCCAAGUCGCGUGAAGGAUGACGGCCCUACGGGUUGUAAACUUCUUUUGUCAGGGAGCAAUUGGGUCCACGCGUGGCCUUAGCGAGAGUACUUGCAGAAAAAGCAUCGGCUAACUCCGUGCCAGCCGCCGCGGUAAUACGGAGGAUGCGGGCGUUAUCGGGAUUGCUUGGGUUUAUAGGGUGCGUAGGCGGAAUAUCAAGUCAGCGGUAAAAAUUCGGGGCUAAACCACGGCGUGCCGUUGAAACUGAUGUUCUUGAGUGGGCGAGAAGUAUGCGGAAUGCGUGGUGUAGCGGUGAAAUGCAUAGAUAUCACGCAGAACUCCGAUUGCGAAGGCAGCAUACCGGCGCCCAACUGACGCUGAAGCACGAAAGCGUGGGUAUCGAACAGGAUUAGAUACCCCUGUAGUC